UACGUAGGGUGCGAGCGUUAAUCGGAAUUACUGGGCGUAAAGCGUGCGCAGGCGGUGAUGUAAGACCGAUGUGAAAUCCCCGGGCUUAACCUGGGAACUGCAUUGGUGACUGCAUUGCUGGAGUAUGGCAGAGGGGGAUGGAAUUCCGCGUGUAGCAGUGAAAUGCGUAGAUAUGCGGAGGAACACCGAUGGCGAAGGCAAUCCCCUGGGCCUGCACUGACGCUCAUGCACGAAAGCGUGGGGAGCAAACAGG
RNAcentral lists this ribosomal RNA (253 nucleotides) under uncultured bacterium. RNAcentral's name for it is "partial 16S ribosomal RNA". It matches the Rfam family "Bacterial small subunit ribosomal RNA", at positions 524 to 776 of the family's 1533-position model. The record is from RNAcentral.